UUCGUUUAUUUCCGCCCUUCCAAACCACCCCGUGUUCAUGCUCAACCCUAAUUCGAUCCAGCCCUGAUUCGACCCAAUCUCCUCUCGUGCCACACCCUACCUCUCCUCUACUUAUACACAGUCCCGUCAAUUUAUCCCUCCCUUUCUUGUUGUCGAUUCGAUUGGAAUCGGCUCCUGAAAUCGGGGCGGCGAGCUGUGGAAGCUCGGCCACGGCGGAAGAUCACAAGAGCACGUCGCGAUCAAGACGCGUCCAAUCAAACGAGCACUCGAGCAGAUCAAAUCAAAUCCUUCCCGAUUUCUUUCAAACUCUGAUCUGGUCUUUGGGGCCAUCCCCUGAUCUUCCGUCUCUGGCCUCCCGCCGUCUUGCGUCACCGCCCUGUUUGGGGGCAGAUCGAUGGCCGCGGUGUCCGUCCAGAUCGAUGGGCGACGGCAUCUGUCUUUCGGGGCCUUCUUCGGCUUCAGGCAGGUGGUGCUGGCACACCCGGCUGAGAUGGCGCCGAAGGCUGGAGACGCGCUGCACCGUCGGCUGGUGAAGGAGACUCGGCGCGCCGUGGAUUUCGUCGUCUGAAGCCAGAGCGCCUCGCGACCGAGGCUAUUGCCCGUCGUCCUCACCUCCCUCUGACAAGGCCAUCCUGGAGACUGGAGUUGGUCCACAACCCGGUGUCCUCUGCAGGUAACGACGAGAAGUCAACUCGAUUCAUGAGGCCAAGGAGCUCUGCUUGAAAGGACUAAUUGCGCCUCUCUCUCUCUGCACCAAAUUUGCCAGUCGAAUUGGUCAGUAACAUACGACGCGCAAGGAAUUGGAGUCCGGUGCUCUGGCCAUGCCUGCUGGAUGUUGUGCAAUGCUAUUCGUCCAGGACCAGGGCUAACCGCGCCUCUCUCUAUGCACCAAAUUUGCCAGUCUAGGCAAUGCCGGAAAUUCACAGGAAGGUAGUGUUUGAGGUUCUGGACAAUUGAGGAUCUCUUCGUUUGCCUGCUUUUCUUGGGGUGACCAAUUUCUUUCUGAAUUAAAUGAAGGACUGGAUUAUUUCCUUGACCUUUUUGCAGGCAUAUAUUAGUACAGGUCUUGUGGUCCUGCUUUUGGCAUCUGGGCAGCAAAUAUAGAUCUAAUAUUUGCCCCCUACAACUUGUUUUUGUCAGAUUAUCAUUGCUGACUCUUUGUCCGUGAAUUCAUCAUUAUUAUGAUGGAUAUAUUGGCUUCUUUCAUAUGAUUUAUCUAUGAACAAUUAGAACCGCGAAAACAGAUGCUGCAGUGUAAAUAUGAAGCUAUCAGACUACUGACGGAGAGGAAAUUAUUAUACUUGAUUUCUUUCUGGAUUUUCAGAGUUUGAAGACUUAUUUCAAAUCCAGGCAUUAUUGAAAGUGACCUGGAGUCUGACACGAUCUAUACUAUUUUAUUCCAAUCCAGGUAUCAUUAUAAUUGACCUGGAAACUUUUGAUGCAGCAUAACAAGUUUUGGAAGGAAUUUGAUAUCAUAUAACAAGCUUGAAUCUGCAAAAUACCUGCAAGGCAUAAACCUAGAGGCCCUCCAUCUUCUAUCAUCAUUCAUCAGAUAAAACCUCAUAGUUUACCGUACCUGGUGUCCAUUGCUGAAUUUUAUCAAUGCUUGAAGCUCUUGUUGUAGUUUGCUAUAUUGGUGCGCAGACUGCAAGAUUUGAAUGCUUAAUUUGCUGACUGAAUAUGCAACGUUGAUUAGUAUACUGAGGUUGAGUAAGGACUGCAUGAUUAUGAUCCUGAUUAGCUUACAGCUAUUUGACAAUGGAAAACCACACUUGCAGAUAACUAAAGUUGAUAACAAAGGAGCAGCACUUCAUGGUUUUUAUUUUUGCUGGGAGAACUAUGCUAACUAUGCUUGAAUUCAGGAGAGUGCAUUCCACUAUAAAUUUUACUAUUGUUGUGAUCUUUCCGAAAUCUUGGACUUGAACCAAAAAAAUAGGUAUGACUAGAGGAGAUGAGCGGAGUCAGUCUUCUUCUUAGAGAAGGCCAAUUUCGGCUCCCACUCUUGCCGUUGAUGAAAACAAGCAGUGGCCUGGAAAUCUUGUGGUAAUUGGCAAACCUCAACGCUCAAGAUCAAUGUAUUUGCUUGACAAACGUUCUAGAUAACAUGGAGCUUGGCAGCUUAUACUUCUUAUUAUUUGCGUAAAUCGAUCAUGUGUAUAGGGAGGAAGCACUAAAGCACUCAAUGCUCUGAUAUCUAACUGUAAUGUGCUAACUGAAUGUGCCAUGUUUAUUAGAGUACUGAGGUUGAGCAAGGACUGCCUUCUUAUCUAGAAGAUCCUGAUUAGCUUACAGCUAUUUGACGAUGGAAAAUCAGACUUAACUAAGUUGACAAUAAAGUAGCAGCAAUUCAUGUAUUUUAUUUUUGUGGA
Long non-coding RNA from Lolium perenne, 2369 nucleotides. RefSeq lists it as uncharacterized. Lineage: Eukaryota; Viridiplantae; Streptophyta; Magnoliopsida; Poales; Poaceae. The record is from RefSeq and is a predicted model, not a curated record.